RNAcentral lists this ribosomal RNA (253 nucleotides) under uncultured bacterium. RNAcentral describes it as "partial 16S ribosomal RNA". It matches the Rfam family "Bacterial small subunit ribosomal RNA", at positions 524 to 776 of the family's 1533-position model. The record is from RNAcentral.
UACAGAGGUCUCAAGCGUUGUUCGGAUUCAUUGGGCGUAAAGGGUGCGUAGGCGGCCCGUUAAGUCAGUGGUGAAAGCCUCCAGCUCAACUGGAGAACUGCCAUUGAUACUGACGGGCUGGAGGUUUGGAGGGGGGACUGGAAUUCUUGGUGUAGCAGUGAAAUGCGUAGAUAUCAAGAGGAACACCAGUGGCGAAGGCGAGUCCCUGGACAACACCUGACACUGAGGCACGAAAGCUAGGGGAGCAAACAGG